AAUCCUCAAAACCUUUGCUCUUUGAUUGGGGAAAGGCUUUUGGACUUGGAGGAUCAAUGCUCGCCCUUACUUUUUGAAGGCGAGCUCCUCUCAAAUAAAUUAGUGGGGGUUUGCUUUGCUGAUCCUUGACGGUGAUAAGACAUCUCUACGUUUUGGAUUUGGUGACCGUCCCUUGCUUCUAACCGUCCUAUGGACAAUGAUGGGUGCACCGGUCACCACCUUAUAUCGGUGGGAGGCUGGACCCACAAAAAGGA
RNAcentral lists this unclassified non-coding RNA (254 nucleotides) under uncultured Russula. RNAcentral describes it as "sequence contains ITS2". Lineage: Eukaryota; Fungi; Basidiomycota; Agaricomycetes; Russulales; Russulaceae. The record is from RNAcentral.